ACUAGCUGAGUCUAUGAAUCAAAUGUUUGUCUGGGAUUUAUGUUAUAAAACAAAUAAACGAGAGGGAGAGAACAAGCUACCUAUCAUAAAGAUAAAGGGGAUAAGCAUAAAGUUCUGGGCCAACCUCCAAACAACUAAAGAUAAAGAAAUUUUUAAAAAAGAGAAAUUACAAAAGAAGGGGACUUUCAGGAUUAAAAAAACAAGAAGAUAACGUGCAGGAGGCCCUCC
Molecule: long non-coding RNA, 228 nt
Filed under: Populus trichocarpa (black cottonwood)
Lineage: Eukaryota; Viridiplantae; Streptophyta; Magnoliopsida; Malpighiales; Salicaceae
Description: long non-coding RNA (PTRI_LNC000348)
Source: RNAcentral